Molecule: unclassified non-coding RNA, 401 nt
Filed under: fungal sp.
Lineage: Eukaryota; Fungi
Description: partial internal transcribed spacer region
Source: RNAcentral
AAGUCGUAACAAGGUUUCCGAAAAACAAAAAAAAAAAAUCGAAAACCCUCCCUGUGAACAUUUGCUUGCUCUUACAGACCGCCUGGAUAGACAAUCCCUGGUAAAUCAUCGCUGAACUGGAGUUGAUUCAGGGACAGUUUGUUCGGCUGAGACGCAUAGCUGUAAUCGAGAAAAGGUCUGACUGCUCCGUAAAGUCCGCCAGGAAAGCGCAGUGACAGGCCGUGGUGGCCUUCCAUCAUCCAGAGGGGUUUCUCCAGUACAUACACCCCAAUGCCACUUUCCGCCCCCCAGGAUGUCCCCGCUAUUAGUCGAAACGACCAACCUGUGCAACGUGUUCAGCUCAUGGGCGUCGUAUUUUUGAAAUACUUGAACAACUGUUAACAAUGGAUAUCUUGGUUCUC